Molecule: non-coding RNA, 48 nt
Organism: Schistosoma mansoni
Lineage: Eukaryota; Metazoa; Platyhelminthes; Trematoda; Strigeidida; Schistosomatidae
Source: Rfam
AUCCAGUUGACGAGUCACAAAUAGGACGAAACACGCGUCAAACUGGAU